GGAGGAAACAACGUCUUUCUCACUGUUUUACAACUCAACUGUCAACUCAACUUUUGCACGAAAAUCUGGAAGCACAACUGUCCAGGCAGAUUGUUCUUCUGGGUAUGAGCCCUGGGUGGUUGGAGUGGCUGCAGGGAUACCCAGCAUUCUGGCCUUGGCCCUUGCAGUCAUCUUGACUGUGGUCUGUGUCCUCCAGUGGAAGAACUACAUCUGGAAUCAGGUGAAUACCUCCCACCUCCGGGGUGCCUUGAUUUUUCUGUAGUUGUUGUUGGUUAACAUUGUGUUUGGUUUUUUUCUGGAAGUAAAUGUAAAAGGGAGGGG
This 321-nucleotide long non-coding RNA is filed under the name Calidris pugnax (ruff). Its description in RNAcentral is "lncRNA (ENSCPUG00000013474.1)". The record is from RNAcentral. Lineage: Eukaryota; Metazoa; Chordata; Aves; Charadriiformes; Scolopacidae.